CAAGAGGUUAACCAGCAGCACACUCCUCUCCUGGGUGGUCGUUCGUUCGGUAGUUUCAAUCGGUAGUUUGCAAAUUACACGAACGGGGUUAUAUGAACAGGCAAUUCAGCGAACAAAGGGAAACAGACGAACCAGCAAUACAGAUGAAUCUGUCACAUUUUUCUUCUUUUAAAUAUAGUCUCCUCCUUUACUGUGUUGAUUCCCUUUAUAUAUUUAAAUGUUUCUAUCAUAUCCCCCCUGUCUCGUCUUUCCUCCAAACUAUACAUGUUAAGAUCCUUUAACCUUUCCUGGUAAGUUUUAUCCCGCAAUCCAUGAACCAGUUUAGUAGCCCUUCUCUGAACCCUCUCUAAGGUAUCAAUAUCCUUCUGAAGAUACGGUCUCCAGUACUGUGUAC
Molecule: non-coding RNA, 394 nt
Organism: Pelobates cultripes (western spadefoot toad)
Lineage: Eukaryota; Metazoa; Chordata; Amphibia; Anura; Pelobatidae
Source: the annotation of a GenBank genome assembly